Molecule: non-coding RNA, 21 nt
Organism: Caenorhabditis elegans
Lineage: Eukaryota; Metazoa; Nematoda; Chromadorea; Rhabditida; Rhabditidae
Source: Ensembl
GUACUAUAAGGGUUAGAGCGG